GUGAUGUCCUACAGACAAGUUGGGAAUUUUACAUUGGAAUGUCCCUCCAACUGAAAAUGACAAUUCGUUUCUAAACAGAACAUUGUUUAAAAAGGUGUCACAUUCUGCUGAACUGUAUUUUAAAUCAUAUAUUGAAAGCAAGGAUUUCCAACUUUCCAUUUCAAAGUAGUUUUCUGAAAAUCAGACUUAGGGCAAAAUAACCCACUUUUUCCCAGGGGAUCAUUGCAACUGAAUUGAUUUUUUCCUAAGUUAUUUGUUUUAAAUUGUUGUUAUGUCAUUCUCUUGCAGAAUGAAAAACAUUCCAGCAAUAUGAAGAAUCACAGAGAACGUGAAGUAACAUCGCAAUAGGAAAAACUGUUAUUUUCUUCUAGUCCUCCCUACUUCAGAAUUACUACAGCUAUUUCACCUACCACAGUUUUCAGAUUAGUCUGACCUGUCCUAUCAGUCUCAUCGUUGAAUCAGCACAGUGGGCAACCACCCUGUGUCAACAUCAUGUGUGCAGUGUAGGGGAAGGCUGGAAGAUGAGAUCUGUACAAGAGCACUGAGGAGGAGCAUAGAGGUGAAAUAUGGACUGUUGCUGAAUGUAGAAAUUGCAAAUUGGGUUUGCUCAAAAAAAAAAUCAUAGCCUGACUUUGAAAUU
RNAcentral lists this long non-coding RNA (640 nucleotides) under Numida meleagris (helmeted guineafowl). Its description in RNAcentral is "lncRNA (ENSNMEG00000004934.1)". Lineage: Eukaryota; Metazoa; Chordata; Aves; Galliformes; Numididae. The record is from RNAcentral.